RNAcentral lists this long non-coding RNA (290 nucleotides) under Mytilus galloprovincialis (Mediterranean mussel). Lineage: Eukaryota; Metazoa; Mollusca; Bivalvia; Mytilida; Mytilidae. The record is from RNAcentral.
AAAGUCGUUGAAUUAAUUAUUUUACAAUUGUUUAAAUAUAUGAGAGAAUGUUUUAGGCAAAUUGUCUUUAUUUACAGAUAAAUGUAUUUAAGUUCAGGAAAUGAUUUAUUCUUCUGGCGGCUUCAAAUAUUUUUUUAUCAAUAACUUAUACACAAGGAGACAUUUUUGACUUUUGACAGCAUGAACCGCAAUUAAUUAGCAAACACAAAUUAAGACACAAAAUCGUUUACAAAUAAAUUUUAUAGAUUCAGAUUCAUUCAAUAGUUUAUUAUAGAAGGAAAAGGGGGGGG